GGUCGUUUUACAAGUAUAUUGAAUGGUCGUUUUAGGCUUUGGGAUUCUACGUUGUUUCUACUUCAAAUUAUUUUAGGAGUGUUUUGAAAACUCGACUGCAAAAUUCAGAUGUUAGGAAAUAUGGCUGUCGACGCCACACGGUCAUGUGCCAGGCCGUGUGGUAGGCUGUGUAACUCAUUGUUCACGAAUUAGAGACACAAGGGCUAAGGACACGAGUGUGUGUCUAGAUCGGGUGUGGGAAUGUUUAGUGCAGAGUUCGUACAGGCUAAGGACACAACUGUGAGCCUAGGCCGUGUAACUCACUGUUUGUGAAUUAGGACCACACGAGCCAGCUAUUCUGGCUGUGUGAAACCACACAGGCGUGUGGAUCAAUAUUUGAAAUUUUUCCCUUAGGCCUCGAGUAUCAUUUGAAACGAAUGUAGGCCUUCCAUAUGGUUAGUAUGAACCAAAUUAGACUAUAUAAUUUGACAUUGUAUGAUCUGAGAUUGAGUAUGGAAUAUCUGCAUACGUGUUGACUGUGACAACCAUUAAUGAGAUUGUUAUAUUCUGUGUAAGUAUAAACUGUAUCUGAAUGAUCGUAUAAAUCUCCUUGUUUAUUGUCAUCUGAGGUCUGCAUCUGUUUUGGGGUGGGAAUUUGUAUAAAGAAGGAAGUGCUCUGUUAUGAAUUAGUGAUUAAAUCAUCGGUAUCUAUAAUCUGAUCUGGUAGCUAGCCUGCAAUUACUGAAACAUGUCAUACUGACACUAUGUGGUGUGUGGGGUUGGAUGGGUAUUAAUUACUCAUUUUGGUGUGUUGGGCUGGUUGGAGAUGGCGUGUAGCAGAUGAAGGUAGGAUAAUUGCAUCUAUUCUAAUCUGUUCUAUAUCUGACAAUGAUUUGACUCAUUAUCUGUCUGGUCUGUUCUGGUUUGUUAAUUGAACGAAUUGCCUCUUGAGUCUGAUUCAGAAUCUAAACUUGGAACUUUAUUGGUUUACUCUAAACUCUACUGAAUAUGUAAUUGUUUCCUCAUUACAUUGUUAAUUCAUUUUGUUUGUUGAUUGAAUUACAGGUAACACAAAGGCUUGAUUAGGUCGGCGGACCGGGAGCUCGGUCAUGUUAUUUAUUAGCUAUUGUUAUUAUCCAUGUUAGUAGUUUAUUUUCAGAAUAUUGGGGAAAUUCGACUUACUAAGAUUGUGAACCUCAUAUUCAACUUUAUGUUGUUAAAUUUCUUUAACUUCUAGAUGACUUUAAAAACUAAGUUUCGGGAGUUAUGUUUUGAUAAAUAUUCUAUGUAGCUCUCUAGUAUUGGCCUUGUUGUCUAGGCAGGGUAUGGAGUGUUAUAGUUUCUCCCAAUAAUUUUCAAUUCAAAAACUAGAUAUGUGUUCCAAAUCUCCA
Molecule: long non-coding RNA, 1370 nt
Filed under: Gossypium barbadense (sea-island cotton)
Lineage: Eukaryota; Viridiplantae; Streptophyta; Magnoliopsida; Malvales; Malvaceae
Description: long non-coding RNA (GBAR_LNC004253)
Source: RNAcentral